RNAcentral lists this small RNA (125 nucleotides) under Marmota monax (woodchuck). The record is from RNAcentral. Lineage: Eukaryota; Metazoa; Chordata; Mammalia; Rodentia; Sciuridae.
GCUGGGUAUGGUGACGCCUGCCUGUAAUCCCAGCUGCUUGAGAGGCUGAGACAGGAGGAUCAGGAGUUCAAAGCCAGCCUUAGCACCAGGGAGGCACUAAGCAACUCAGUGAGACCCUGUCUCCA